This 75-nucleotide transfer RNA is filed under the name Xylaria hypoxylon. RNAcentral's name for it is "tRNA-Asp". It matches the Rfam family "tRNA". From Rfam's summary of the family: Transfer RNA (tRNA) molecules are approximately 80 nucleotides in length. Lineage: Eukaryota; Fungi; Ascomycota; Sordariomycetes; Xylariales; Xylariaceae. The record is from RNAcentral.
UGAAUUAAUAACUUAAUUGGCAAAGGACUACUCUGUCACAGUAGUAGAUGUCGGUUCGAGCCCGAUUUAAUUCGA